Molecule: ribosomal RNA, 253 nt
Filed under: uncultured bacterium
Lineage: Bacteria
Description: partial 16S ribosomal RNA
Rfam family: Bacterial small subunit ribosomal RNA
Source: RNAcentral
UACGUAGGGUGCAAGCGUUGUCCGGAAUUACUGGGCGUAAAGGGCUCGUAGGCGGCCAACUAAGUCAGACGUGAAAUCCCCAGGCUCAACCUGGGAACUGCGUCUGAUACUGGAUGGCUUGAAUCCGGGAGAGGGAUGCAGAAUUCCAGGUGUAGCGGUGAAAUGCGUAGAUAUCUGGAGGAAUACCGGUGGUGAAGGCGGCAUCCUGGACCGGCAUUGACGCUGAGGAGCGAAAGCCAGGGGAGCAAACGGG